This 71-nucleotide transfer RNA is filed under the name Camelus bactrianus (Bactrian camel). It matches the Rfam family "tRNA". Rfam says of the family: Transfer RNA (tRNA) molecules are approximately 80 nucleotides in length. Lineage: Eukaryota; Metazoa; Chordata; Mammalia; Artiodactyla; Camelidae. RNAcentral also lists the same sequence under 1 other name. The record is from Rfam by way of RNAcentral.
GGAGGUAGCUCAAGUGGUAGAGUGCAUGCUUAGCAUGCAUGAGGUCCUGGGUUCAAUCCUCAGUACCUCCA